This 221-nucleotide ribosomal RNA is filed under the name uncultured bacterium. Its description in RNAcentral is "partial 16S ribosomal RNA". It matches the Rfam family "Bacterial small subunit ribosomal RNA", at positions 109 to 334 of the family's 1533-position model. The record is from RNAcentral.
AGUAAUAUAUCGGAACGUACCCAAGAGUGGGGGAUAACGUAGCGAAAGUUACGCUAAUACCGCAUACGAUCUAAGGAUGAAAUGGGGGACCGCAAGGCCUCACGCUCCUGGAGCGGCCGAUAUCUGAUUAGCUAGUUGGUGAGGUAAAGGCUCACCAAGGCGACGAUCAGUAGCUGGUCUGAGAGGACGACCAGCCACACUGGGACUGAGACACGGCCCAG